Molecule: long non-coding RNA, 1367 nt
Filed under: Mus spicilegus (steppe mouse)
Lineage: Eukaryota; Metazoa; Chordata; Mammalia; Rodentia; Muridae
Description: lncRNA (ENSMSIG00000018418.1)
Source: RNAcentral
GAGGAUCAAGAGAGCAACCCACAGUGAUAUGGCCACUUAAUUUUUGACAAAGUAUUCAAAAGAUAAACUGGAGUAGGGGGAAGUCUCCUAGGAAGUGGUGAUGGAGAAACUGGGCAUCUAUAUCACAAGAAUGAUGCUAGACCCACAUCUCUAACACUGCACAAAAUGAAUCAAGACAUCAACAUAAGGCCUGGACCUUUGACAGUGCUAAGGAGAACAUAAGAAAACUACUUCAAGAUACAGGUAAAGAACUGUAGAGGCAAGAACUUUCUGAAAAAUAGUACAAGAAAUAAUCCCAUUAACUGACAAAGGGAUUACAUAAAAAUAACAACAAACCCCAAAACUUCUGCACAGCAAAAUAAUCCCCAGAGUGAGGAGAAAAUCCACAUAAUGGAAGAAAAAGAGUCUAACUAUGUCUAAGACAGGUUAACAUUUAGAAUAUGUAAGAAUGACAUACAUUAAAUGUACAUGCACAAAAUUCUCUCUCUGGUCAAUAGUCUAAUGAAUGGAAGAAAGACAAAUGGCUAAUACACACUUGGAAAAGAAUUCAGCAGUCUUGAUGGUCAGGGAAAUGGGAAUUAAAACCACGUUGAUACUGCAUCUCUCUCCUAUCAGAAUGGACAUCAUGAAGAAGGCAAGAGAGAGCAGCUGCUGUUAAGGAUGUUGGGAAAGAGGACCUUUGCUGUGGUAAGAUAAGCUGAUGCAACCCUGUGGGGAUCAAGUUGGAGGCAUCUGAAAAUAGGAUUCCUCUGUGACCUCACUUGAAUACCUCAAAGGACAAGUGUUACCAUAGAGACUUGCACAUCGGUCUGAAUUGCUGCACUAGUCAUAGAACCUAGGAAAUACAGGUCAAAAGCCAUAGAGCAGAGUGACCAAGACUGGAGACAGUUAAAGGGAACAGAGAAAAUGUUCCCCUCUUCUUCUGGAUGAAAGUUACCAACCUCACUGUUGCUGGAGCUUAGAAACCCCCGCUUACAGGAAGACGAGGUUCUUGGUAAUGUUGAGGACAGAGCAGUCUUCCGAAUGCUUUCAUGGACGGAUACUGGUGUGGAUGCUAAGCGAGUCUUCCCACGUGAUUGAUCGUCUCCCCUUCCUGCUCUGGUUUCUCACUUACACACCCUGGUGUCAGGCUUUCCCAGCAGGGAUCCCUGGCUGCCUGCCUGCUCCAAAUCUUCUCAACAUGAAUGCAAGCCAUGGCCAUGGUGCCAGACAUAAGAGGUAGAGGAUGAGCAUUCAUUGUGAUGGUGGUGCCAUUCCUAGACAUGAGAAAUCUCUUCAGAGAACCCAAUCCUGCUUAUAUCACCAUCGAUGGGAGCUGAAAAGAUCUAUGACUUAAUAAAUGAAAAGCCAGCUCAGAGAGGAUCUCA